UACGGAGGGUGCAAGCAUUAAUCGGAAUUAUUGGGCGUAAAGGGCGCGUAGGCGGAUAUGAAAGUCAGAUGUGAAAUUCCGGAGCUCAACUCCGGCACGGCAUUUGAAACUCCAUAUCUAGAGGACUGGCGGAGAAAACGGAAUUCCACGUGUAGCGGUGAAAUGCGUAGAUAUGUGGAAGAACACCAGUGGCGAAAGCGGUUUUCUAGCUUUUUCCUAACGCUGAGGCGCGAGAGCAAGGGGAG
Molecule: ribosomal RNA, 245 nt
Filed under: uncultured bacterium
Lineage: Bacteria
Description: partial 16S ribosomal RNA
Rfam family: Bacterial small subunit ribosomal RNA
Source: RNAcentral